RNAcentral lists this ribosomal RNA (490 nucleotides) under uncultured bacterium. RNAcentral's name for it is "partial 16S ribosomal RNA". It matches the Rfam family "Bacterial small subunit ribosomal RNA", at positions 30 to 507 of the family's 1533-position model. The record is from RNAcentral.
AUUGAACGCUGGCGGCAGGCCUAACACAUGCAAGUCGAACGGUAACAGGAAACAGCUUGCUGUUUCGCUGACGAGUGGCGGACGGGUGAGUAAUGUCUGGGAAACUGCCUGAUGGAGGGGGAUAACUACUGGAAACGGUAGCUAAUACCGCAUAACGUCGCAAGACCAAAGAGGGGGACCUUCGGGCCUCUUGCCAUCGGAUGUGCCCAGAUGGGAUUAGCUAGUAGGUGGGGUAACGGCUCACCUAGGCGACGAUCCCUAGCUGGUCUGAGAGGAUGACCAGCCACACUGGAACUGAGACACGGUCCAGACUCCUACGGGGGGCAGCAGUGGGGAAUAUUGCACAAUGGGCGCAAGCCUGAUGCAGCCAUGCCGCGUGUAUGAAGAAGGCCUUCGGGUUGUAAAGUACUUUCAGCGGGGAUGAAGGGAGUAAAGUUAAUACCUUUGCUCAUUGACGUUACCCGCAGAAGAAGCACCGGCUAACUCCGUG